UCCCUGGUGGUCCAGUGGCUAAAACUCCUCCCUCCAAAGGCAGGGGUCCCAGGUUCGAUCCCUGGUCAGGGAA
RNAcentral lists this transfer RNA (73 nucleotides) under Capra hircus (goat). It matches the Rfam family "tRNA". From Rfam's summary of the family: Transfer RNA (tRNA) molecules are approximately 80 nucleotides in length. Their secondary structure includes four short double-helical elements and three loops (D, anti-codon, and T loops). Lineage: Eukaryota; Metazoa; Chordata; Mammalia; Artiodactyla; Bovidae. The record is from Rfam by way of RNAcentral. RNAcentral also lists the same sequence under 1 other name.